This is a long non-coding RNA of Gadus macrocephalus (Pacific cod), 809 nucleotides long. RefSeq lists it as uncharacterized. The transcript has 3 exons. The record is from RefSeq and is a predicted model, not a curated record. NCBI's taxonomy places the organism in Eukaryota, Metazoa, Chordata, Actinopteri, Gadiformes, Gadidae.
GAAGACGGGUGCGCGGGGCAAUAUUAUGAGCUUUGAAUCUAAUAUUAUUCCAUAGGUAUAGGUUUAACAAAUAUGUUGUUGGGUUACGAGUUUUUGAGUCGAAUACAUUUUAGACGGUGCCCCAAGGAAAACUACAAGUUCACCAGAUGGUUAAUGAAAGAAGGCCUACUUCGAAAAUGGAUGAAAUGCCCCUCUUGCUCUCAUGUUAUGAAGUUGAAACGGUCCUACGGCAAAAAGGAGGCAGCAUGGACAUGCCGAGAUUCCUGUCACAAAGGGAAAACGGUGUCGAGGUCCAUCCGAAGUGGCUCAAUGUUUGAGAAUUCUCACAUUCGACUGCAUACGUGGAUGCAUUACAUCUACAGAUUCGCCCAAGGCCUUCGACUGAGACAAGUGGACAUGCUGCAGGAAGGAAUUACUCGGAGUUCUGCAACUCUGAGUAAACUUGCAGACAAGCUGCGGAGAGUUUGCAAAUCAGGAAUGAAAAGAAUGAGAAGAAGAGGCAAGCAGACUGUUGGACAAAGAGCAGAGAUUGUUAUGAUAGAUGAAAGCAAAUUUGGCCAUAAAAGAAAGGUAUGAAAGUUACUUAAACACUUAUGAGUAUUACUUUGAUGCCAAAUACAUGAUUUUGUGUCUAAAAACAUGUAUUUGAUGUUGGUUAAGUCUGAGCUAAACUCAGCUACUGAAAGUAGAGACAAUACAUACAUUUAAAACCUGUUUUUGCCUGAGGUGCUUGGAGGUGUAUCUGCUGUAUCUCGAGAAGUAACUACUGCAUUAUGAAAUAAGAUACAUUGUAGUUCAUUGAUGCAAUA